This is a non-coding RNA of Penaeus vannamei (Pacific white shrimp), 1079 nucleotides long. NCBI's taxonomy places the organism in Eukaryota, Metazoa, Arthropoda, Malacostraca, Decapoda, Penaeidae. The record is from RefSeq and is a predicted model, not a curated record.
AAGCGACAACAGUAUUGAUAAGAAACGGUGUAUUUUUCCCCCCUUUUUUUCUUUUUCUUUGAGUAUCUAUACUCCACUCUUUUUAACCGACAGGAAAAAGCUCUUACAGGCCAGUGAUGACUGGUGACAGGCAAACAGAAAGAUGAUAAUUAUUUAACAGUUGGGUGGUUGGUGAGGAUAAUCAUUUGAAAUUUAACGGCUUUAUUCACACACGUUCACCGGUCUCCCAAUUGCUUCUUCGCCUCGACAGAAAAAAAAGGUUUUGUCUUUAUCACUACGAGCUUCUAUAAAACCUAUCUCUGCCUCUCUCUAAUAUUUUGUACGUGUGAAUAGCCACCUAUCUAUGUUCUGAAAUAAAAUAUUCUGAAAAGUGCCACCCAUUCAACAUUACAGUUUAUCCUCUGCCUAUCAAUCAUUCAAAUGCAUUCAUAAAUCUCUGUCCAACUCCAAACAAAUUCAUUUUGUUUCCCAACUUACGGUUUCGCAACAAGACCUUUUGCGCCAUAACACCGGCUCCUCGGUGGAUAAAAGGGCAGCGCUUGGCCCCUUGAUGCUUCAGUUCAGAUCCGUUCUACGUCGCUUGCUCAUCCGGCACAGUUGGUUAGGAGUUCCAUGAUGACUUUUCGAGGAAUAAGUGUGUGCGUGGUGUUUGUCGCCGUGAUGCUGAUGACGUGCUCUGCCCAGACGAGCACCGAACAGGAAGUUGAAACGGACUCCGUGAAACCCGGUUCCUGUCCUCCUAUCACGGCGUCACAGCUUGAACAGCAGGGCAUCAAGAAUCUGGAGUGCCAGAAGGAUUCGGAUUGUGAUGACACUGACAAAUGCUGCUUGGUUCCUGGUGGGUUAUCUUGCGUUGAGCCAGAGGUCGGAUCGGAUGAGGAGAUGAGGAGAUGAGGAGAUCAUGGUUAACAGACAGUUCCAGAAGAUUCGAUUGUCUCGGAGAUAACCAUGGUUCAGAAUGAGCACACACACAGUGGCCGCAGCCUUGUUUCCAGAAGACUGUGUCGAUUUAUAAAUUGAUUUGCCGUCUGUAAUGGUAGAGAUUGUUGAUCCUUCAGAAUAAAAUUUGAUUAAUCCUG